UACGGGGGGGGCAAGCGUUGUUCGGAAUUACUGGGCGUAAAGGGCUCGUAGGUGGCCAACUAAGUCGGACGUGAAAUCCCUCGGCUUAACCGGGGAACUGCGUCUGAUACUGGAUGGCUUGAGUUCGGGAGAGGGAUGCGGAAUUCCAGGUGUAGCGGUGAAAUGCGUAGAUAUCUGGAGGAACACCGGUGGCGAAGGCGGCAUCCUGGACCGACACCGACGCUGAGGAGCGAAAGCCAGGGGAGCAAACGGG
This 253-nucleotide ribosomal RNA is filed under the name uncultured bacterium. Its description in RNAcentral is "partial 16S ribosomal RNA". It matches the Rfam family "Bacterial small subunit ribosomal RNA", at positions 524 to 776 of the family's 1533-position model. The record is from RNAcentral.